ACCGACCACCUGGACCCCCGGCUGACCGGAAGCUGGACCCCGGCAACUUAGAGGUUCCUCAUUCUCUUCCCUCAGCUUGGAAAGUACGUUCCGCCCUCGGUUCCCACCGCCGGAGCCGUUUUUAAGAACACAGGCGUGAGGGAGCAAUGUGACUUUGAGACUAUCUGCACCACUUAAGCCCAUCUUAAGGCCUUUAGAUAAACUUCUGGGAUUCUGGUGGGCGAAUGCGAAGCCCUCCUCGACUUGCGGGCACCCAAGACAAACCCCACUGUGUUGAUCCCAGAACAUUCUCUAAUAAGCCUCCUGCUGGCUAAUUUCUCUCUGAGUCGGCUUCCUGGGGAGCCCAUCAUGGAAGAUUUUUAUUAUCCCCAUGUAACAAAGGAAAAUGGAGGAGUUUGGGUACUCAAUCAAACUAUUCGAGGAAUUAUAGUGCAGAAGUUUAAAGUGGAGAAUGUCACCUCAAACCGUAUUCUGUGAUGCCAAGCAAAAGAAAACUUUUCUAUGAAAUGACUGAUUCUCAACCUACUUGCCCAGUUACUUCUAAAUCAUUUGGUGUUCCAGAAGGAGUCUUUGAAGAAUCUGGGUUUCAAAGGUCUCAGACCUUCUACAACCUGCCUGUGAGGAGACGUCUGCCCUGUGCACUGUAGAAUGUUUAGCAGCACUCCUGGCUUCUGCUCUGGAUGAAAACAGCACUUCUUCCAGUUAUGACAACCAAAAAUGUCUCCAGAGAUUGCAAAUAUUCCCCAAGGGACAAUAUCACCCUCCUUCGUAUUAUGGACCUCUGCCUUAAAUGACCAUUGAUUUAGUGUUGGUGUGUGGGUAUGAAACUUUGCCCGUACCACAUAAGCAGGAGCAGGUAACUUGAACUUAUCAGAAGAAAAACAGAUCUGGGAGUUGUACAGAAGACUUUUUGAGCUUGCUACUCCUAUCUCUUUAUAUUUGCACGUGUGGACACAGACACCAACCCUCUUUCUUGUUAAUCAGAGCGAGGAAAGUUACCUGAAGGCUGUUGAUGGGAACAAGCUAUGGGGCCUGUAAUACCCACCACUGCUGUAAAAAGGUCCUAAAGUCAAGAUGAAUUUCCAAGUUACAAAGUACCGUCUCUGUCAGUAAUGAAAGGAAGAUUUGUGAAUCCAUACAGGCUUGCUUGAUCUAUCACCAAUGCACCUGAUCCAUCAUUGAUAGCUUAUUGUAUGGAAGAAAUCUCCACCUUCAGCAAUUAUAAAGCAAAGCAA
This is a long non-coding RNA of Felis catus (domestic cat), 1235 nucleotides long. RefSeq lists it as uncharacterized. The transcript is spliced from 9 exons. The record is from RefSeq and is a predicted model, not a curated record. NCBI's taxonomy places the organism in Eukaryota, Metazoa, Chordata, Mammalia, Carnivora, Felidae.